RNAcentral lists this ribosomal RNA (482 nucleotides) under uncultured bacterium. Its description in RNAcentral is "partial 16S ribosomal RNA". It matches the Rfam family "Bacterial small subunit ribosomal RNA", at positions 30 to 507 of the family's 1533-position model. The record is from RNAcentral.
AUUGAACGCUGGCGGCAUGCCUUACACAUGCAAGUCGAACGGUAACGGGCCUUCGGGUGCCGACGAGUGGCGAACGGGGGAGUAAUACAUCGGAACGUGCCCGAUCGUGGGGGAUAACGAGGCGAAAGCUUUGCUAAUACCGCAUACGAUCUACGGAUGAAAGCAGGGGACCGCAAGGCCUUGCGCGGACGGAGCGGCCGAUGGCAGAUUAGGUAGUUGGUGGGAUAAAAGCUUACCAAGCCGACGAUCUGUAGCUGGUCUGAGAGGAUGAUCAGCCACACUGGGACUGAGACACGGCCCAGACUCCUACGGGAGGCAGCAGUGGGGAAUUUUGGACAAUGGGCGCAAGCCUGAUCCAGCCAUGCCGCGUGCAGGAUGAAGGCCUUCGGGUUGUAAACUGCUUUUGUACGGAACGAAAAGCCUUCUUUUAAUACAGGAGGGUCAUGACGUUACCGUAAGAAUAAGCACCGGCUAACUACGUG